GACGAACGCUGGCGGCGUGCUUAACACAUGCAAGUCGAACGGUGAAGCGCCUUCCUUUUUGGUGGGUGUGGAUGAGUGGCGAACGGGUGAGUAACACGUGAGUAACCUGCCCCCUUCUUCUGGAUAACCGCAUGAAAGUGUGGCUAAUACGGGAUAUUCUGGGUCUGUCGCAUGAUGGGUCUGGGAAAGAUAUUGUUUCGGUGGGGGAUGGGCUCGCGGCCUAUCAGCUUGUUGGUGGGGUGAUGGCCUACCAAGGCGGUGACGGGUAGCCGGCCUGAGAGGGUGGACGGUCACACUGGGACUGAGACACGGCCCAGACUCCUACGGGAGGCAGCAGUGGGGAAUAGUGCACAAUGGGCGCAAGCCUGAUGCAGCGACGCCGCGUGAGGGAUGGAGGCCUUUGGGUUGUGAACCUCUUUCGCCAGUGAAGCAGGCCUGCCUCGUUUGUGGGUGGGUUGACGGUAGCUGGAUAAGAAGCGCCGGCUAACUACGUG
RNAcentral lists this ribosomal RNA (494 nucleotides) under uncultured bacterium. Its description in RNAcentral is "partial 16S ribosomal RNA". It matches the Rfam family "Bacterial small subunit ribosomal RNA", at positions 28 to 507 of the family's 1533-position model. The record is from RNAcentral.